RNAcentral lists this ribosomal RNA (406 nucleotides) under uncultured bacterium. RNAcentral describes it as "partial 16S ribosomal RNA". It matches the Rfam family "Bacterial small subunit ribosomal RNA", at positions 30 to 526 of the family's 1533-position model. The record is from RNAcentral.
AUUGAACGCUGGCGGCAGGCCUAACACAUGCAAGUCGAACGAGUGGCGGACGGGUGAGUAAUGUCUGGGAAACUGCCUGAUGGAGGGGGAUAACUCCUGGAAACGGUAGCUAAUACCGCAUACCAUCAGCAUUGCCCAGAUGGGAUUAGCUUGUUGGUGGGGUAACGGCUCACCAAGGAGACGAUCCCUAGCUGGUCUGCGAGGAUGACCAGCAAGUAUGGAACUAAGACACGGUCCAGACUCCUACGGGAGGCAGCAGUGGGGAAUAGUGAACAAUGGGCGCAAGCCUGAUGCAGCCAUGCCGCUUGUAUGAAGAAGGCCUUCGGGUUGUAAAGUACUUUCAGCGGGGAGGCGUUACCCGCAGAAGAAGCACCGGCUAACUCCGUGCGAGCAGCCGCGGUAAUUC